GUUCAUGUUUUACUGGUGACGUUAUUAUGUCGUAGUUUUCUUGUUUAUCAAAUGUAUCAAGUCGUCUGUUUGACAACAAACAACGUCAACCUUAUCACUUUUUUAUGUAGCUGUGGGGUGUGAUAUUCACCAUGACGAGGAUUUCCGUUUGACAGUUGACAACUUGGUGACAUAUACUUAUUACCAUACCAUAUAAAAAGCUGGUUGAAACCAACCUUUAUUCGCAAACAGAUAUGUUACCGUUGAGACACACAAAGACAACACUCAACAACUAAAAGAAAGAGUCUCGAAAAAAAACCAGGAACUUUAAAUUGCUAUGAAGCGGUUUUUCGAAUAAUGCAUGAUCAAGCAAUGAGCUUCUCUUCACCAUCAGUCAUUUUCAAAAUUUGUCAAAUUGCUGCACUUGUCGCUGGUUUGGGAUUUGUUGGUUACUUCACAAAAGAGUCCGUUGAUUAUAUUGACGAUUCUAAUUCAGAAUCAUAUAAACGAGGCGUUCUUGGUAGACAGGAAUUUUUCUUUAUACGACCUGCGUUGGAGCUGUUAUUUCAAUCGUUGGAUUGGUUCUCAACUUUAAUGGAUUAAUCAAUAAUAAGCACAAUGCUGCAGCUAUGGCAGCAGUGCAAGGUAUAUGGACGAUACAGUUAUUGGUCACCACAAGCCUAAUUACCGUUGUCUACUCUUCGUACAACAAGGACAUAGGAGGCACGUCUUCAUGUGAAUAUUGGGAUGACGCCCCAAACAGGAAAUAUGAUUACACCUGUGGUCAAUUGAUUGGUGGAAUGGUUUCUGGUUUUAUUGCUGCCAUAUUGUAUGGAGUGGAUGCAAUUUUCACUUUCAAAAUCUCUACGGAACAGAGUUAACAUGGAAGAAAAUUUAUCACAUUUAGUCCUUAACCAACAAAUAAAAAUUAAUAUUUUUGUAUCAUUUAGGUUAUUGUAACAUUUUCAUGUAAAGUAACUGUUAUAUCAUUAAGCAUGCAUUUGAAUAAAAAUAAGAAUUUUCGUCCUCGCUGUUGAUUAA
Xenia sp. Carnegie-2017 is the source of this 1020-nucleotide RNA transcript. RefSeq lists it as uncharacterized. The transcript is spliced from 5 exons. NCBI's taxonomy places the organism in Eukaryota, Metazoa, Cnidaria, Anthozoa, Malacalcyonacea, Xeniidae. The record is from RefSeq and is a predicted model, not a curated record.